Halichondria panicea is the source of this 1182-nucleotide RNA transcript. It is a transcript of the gene named Bardet-Biedl syndrome 5 protein homolog, with no coding region annotated. The record is from RefSeq and is a predicted model, not a curated record. The transcript has 12 exons. NCBI's taxonomy places the organism in Eukaryota, Metazoa, Porifera, Demospongiae, Suberitida, Halichondriidae.
GGGGGGCGUAUCUCCAUCCUGAUCUGCUGCUGUGAAAAUGGCCUCUGUCAGCUGUAUGGAUAUCCACCUGCUCCAGAUGAGGGCGGGAGAGUCGGUGAUCGACUACUUGUCUCAAGUAGAGGACACUAAAGGGAACAAUGGACACAGAGGUAAACUGUUUGUGACCAACCUGCGAGUGAUUUGGACGUCAGCUGACUAUCAGAGAGUCAACCUUUCCAUUGGUUACCACACAGUGACCUCAGUGACUACAAAGAGAGUGAAUUCUAAACAAAGAGGGACAACUGAAGCGCUGUAUUUGAUGACUAAAGUUGACAAGACUCAGUUUGAAUUCAUCUUCACUAAUCUUGUCCCGGACAGCCCUCGCCUGUUCUCCACGGUGAUGUCAGUGUACACAGCGUACGAGACGUCCAAACCUUAUCGAGAGCUCAAGCUACGGAGUGCCCUACUGGGAGAGAGCAAAGAGUUGAAGCUACUGCCCAGAGAGCAGCUGUACACUAAGUUCCAGACAGCUGUUAGUGAUGUCCAAACCUUAUGAGAGCUCAAGCUAUGGUAUCCUACUGGGAGAGAGCAGUUGUACACUAAAAACAGAGAGGGCCAGGUCGACAACUGAAGCGUUGUUCCAGACAGCUGUUAGUGAUGUCCAAACCUUAUGAGAGCUCAAGCUAUGGUAUCCUACUGGGAGAGAGCAGUUGUACACUAAAAACAGAGAGGGCCAGGUCGACAACUGAAGCGUUGUAAAGUUGACAAGACUCAGUUUGAAUUCAUCUUCACGUAUUUAAACACACAGGUUCCAGACAGCUGUUAGUGAUGUCCAAACCUUAUGAGAGCUCAAGCUAUGGUAUCCUACUGGGAGAGAGCAGUUGUACACUAAAACUCUGGUGAUGAUGAGCAAUCUCUGCCAGUGCCUGAGAGUGUGACUGAUGAUAUUGAGGUGGUGGAGACCAAAGACAAGAUGGACACUUUUGAAAUAAAUAAUUGGCAACAAAAUUCUUUAGUCAGUGGAUCGUAAUCCUGUGUUUUCCCCUGAGCUGGGACUAGCCAUUGAGAAACUACCAGAGGGAUACUCUCUCCAAGACCUAGAUGGGACGUGACCUAGUUAAACAACUGUCUUAUCCAUCUUAUGCUAGACUUUCUGUUGCAUGCAUGUACUGUACUACAUCAAAUGAAAAUUUUCCCUGGUAG